RNAcentral lists this ribosomal RNA (210 nucleotides) under Humicola sp. RNAcentral describes it as "partial large subunit ribosomal RNA". The record is from RNAcentral. Lineage: Eukaryota; Fungi; Ascomycota; Sordariomycetes; Sordariales; Chaetomiaceae.
AAGCGCUUGUGACCAGACUUGCGCCGGGCAGAUCAUCCGGUGUUCUCACCGGUGCACUCUGCCCGGCUCAGGCCAGCAUCGGUUCUCGUGGGGGGAUAAAGGUCCCGGGAACGUAGCUCCUCCGGGAGUGUUAUAGCCCGGGGCGUAAUGCCCUCGUGGGGACCGAGGUUCGCGCAUCUGCAAGGAUGCUGGCGUAAUGGUCAUCAGCGA